RNAcentral lists this ribosomal RNA (379 nucleotides) under uncultured cyanobacterium. RNAcentral describes it as "bacterial SSU rRNA". It matches the Rfam family "Bacterial small subunit ribosomal RNA", at positions 376 to 770 of the family's 1533-position model. The record is from RNAcentral. Lineage: Bacteria; Bacillati; Cyanobacteriota.
CGAAAGCCUGACGGAGCAACGCCGCGUGUGGGAGGACGGCCUUCGGGUUGUAAACCACUUUUCUCAGGGAAGAAGCUCUGACGGUACCUGAGGAAUCAGCCUCGGCUAACUCCGUGCCAGCAGCCGCGGUAAUACGGAGGAGGCAAGCGUUAUCCGGAAUUAUUGGGCGUAAAGCGUCCGCAGGUGGCGAUUCAAGUCUGCUGUCAAAGCCAAGAGCUCAACUCCUGUCCGGCAGUGGAAACUGACCCACUCGAGGGUGGUAGGGGUAGAGGGAAUUCCCAGUGUAGCGGUGAAAUGCGUAGAGAUCGGGAAGAACAUCGGUGGCGAAAGCGCUCUACUGGACGGCAACUGACACUCAGGGACGAAAGCUAGGGGAGCG